GAUGAAGAACGUAGCGAAAUGCGAUAAGUAAUGUGAAUUGCAGAAUUCAGUGAAUCAUCGAAUCUUUGAACGCACAUUGCGCCCGCCAGUAUUCUGGCGGGCAUGCCUGUCCGAGCGUCAUUUCAACCCUCGAACCCCUCCGGGGGGUCGGCGUUGGGGAUCGGCCCUCCCUUAGCGGGUGGCCGUCUCCGAAAUACAGUGGCGGUCUCGCCGCAGCCUCUCCUGCGCAGUAGUUUGCACACUCGCAUCGGGAGCGCGGCGCGUCCACAGCCGAUAAACACCCAACUUCUGAAAUGUUGACCUCGGAUCAGGUAGGAAUACCCGCUGAACUUAAGCAUAUCAAUAAGCGGAGGA
Molecule: unclassified non-coding RNA, 354 nt
Filed under: soil metagenome
Description: partial contains 5.8S ribosomal RNA, internal transcribed spacer 2, and large subunit ribosomal RNA
Rfam family: 5.8S ribosomal RNA (bases 1-120)
Source: RNAcentral